CAGAACUGCUGCAGAGGUGCUGCAUGGCUGUCGUCAGCUCGUGUCGUGAGAUGUUGGGUUAAGUCCCGCAACGAGCGCAACCCUUACCCGUAGUUGCCAGCGCGUCAUGGCGGGAACUCUACGGGGACUGCCCGGGUUAACCGGGAGGAAGGUGGGGAUGAUGUCAAGUCCUCAUGGCCCUUAUGUCCAGGGCUACACACGUGCUACAAUGGGCGAUACAAACCGUUGCAAAGUCGCGAGAUGGAGCUAAUCGGAGAAAGUCGUCCUCAGUUCGGAUUGUAGUCUGCAACUCGACUACAUGAAGGUGGAAUCGCUAGUAAUCGUGUAUCAGAAUGAUACGGUGAAUACGUUCCCGGGCCUU
RNAcentral lists this ribosomal RNA (361 nucleotides) under uncultured Geothrix sp. RNAcentral describes it as "bacterial SSU rRNA". It matches the Rfam family "Bacterial small subunit ribosomal RNA", at positions 1022 to 1382 of the family's 1533-position model. The record is from RNAcentral. Lineage: Bacteria; Pseudomonadati; Acidobacteriota; Holophagae; Holophagales; Holophagaceae.